Molecule: ribosomal RNA, 1610 nt
Filed under: Myxobolus elegans
Lineage: Eukaryota; Metazoa; Cnidaria; Myxozoa; Bivalvulida; Myxobolidae
Description: SSU rRNA
Rfam family: Eukaryotic small subunit ribosomal RNA
Source: RNAcentral
GAUAUCUAUUUGAUUGUCUACCCAUUGGAUAACCGUGGGAAAUCUAGAGCUAAUACAUGCAAGUAUUUGGCAGUACCCUCGGGUGCUGUCAAAGCAUUUAUUAGACCAAACCAACUGUUGUGCGAUCAUUGGUCGUACAGCAAGGUGAAUCUGGAUAACUUUGCUGAUCGUAUGGCCUAGAGCCGGCGACGUUUCAAUUGAGUUUCUGCCCUAUCAACUAGUUGGUAAUGUAUUGGAUUACCAAGGUAGCAACGGGUAACGGGGAAUCAGGGUUCGAUUCCGGAGAGGGAGCCUGAGAAACGGCUACCACAUCCAAGGAAGGCAACAGGCGCGCAAAUUACCCAAUCUAGACAGUAGGAGGUGGUGAAGAGAAUUACUAAGUGGUGGCCUUAUGGCUACCAGCUUGGAAUGAACGUAAUUUAAGCAAUUCGAUGAGUAACAACUGGAGGGCAAGUCCUGGUGCCAGCAGCCGCGGUAAUUCCAGCUCCAGUGAUCUCGUUUAAAGUUGUUGCGUUUAAAACGCUCGUAGUUGGAUCACGCAGCAUCAUCUGGUAAUCUUGAUAGUGAGCAUAAAAGCUGCACUUUGAGGAGUUUUCACGUAAGUGUAAGGCCGAUUAAAGUGUAGUGCUCACCGAUGGAUAUUAACGCCAGGUGUUGCUAGUUGCACGCGAGGAUGUCAGUUGGUCUUUAGUGUACUGAGUGUCAUAUCUUGCGGAGUGUGCCUUGAAUAAAACAGAGUGCUCAACGCAGGCAAAAGCUUGAAUGUUAUAGCAUGGAACGAACAAACGUGUUAACGUGCACGUCGAGUACAGCGGUAUUCUUAUGGAUUGCCAUUGUAUUAGAUGUGCACAGCACCUACCAAAAUAUGGAUGUUGGUUCCAUAUACGGUGAUGAUUAAAAGGAGCGGUUGGGGACAUUAGUAUUUGACCGCGAGAGGUGAAAUUCUAGAACCGGUCAAGGACUAACAAAUGCGAAGGCACUUGUCUAGACCGUUUCCAUUAAUCAAGAACGAAAGUGAGAGGUUCGAAGACGAUCAGAUACCGUCGUAGUUCUCACCGUAAACUAUGCCGACCUGGGACCAGUUUGGAUACUACAAACUCUAGGUUGGUCCCCCUGGGAAACCUCAAGUCUUUAGGUUACGGGGAGAGUAUGGUCGCAAGGCUGAAACUUAAAGGAAUUGACGGAAGGGCACCACCAGGGGUGGAGCCUGCGGCUUAAUUUGACUCAACACGGGGAAACUUACCUGGUCCGGACAUCGAUAGGAUAGACAGACUGAUAGAUCUUUCUUGAUGCGAUGAGUGGUGGUGCAUGGCCGUUCUUAGUUCGUGGAGUGAUCUGUCAGGUUAAUUCCGGUAACGAACGAGACCACAGUCCCCAUUUAAGAAACGAAAGUAGAGUGUGCAAGAACGGGUAUUUCGGUAUUUGUUUUUGGAUACUUGUAGGUAUAGCUGGUUAGCUCAGUAGGCUGUUGCAGGAGGGGUAACCCGAAUGUGGCUGUCUGCUGGGUCAGCCAAUUCUCCCUUUCGUUGAGCAGUAUUUGGAUUCUCCGAGUGCUGUCUUAUGGGGAGACAACGAGGUAUAUUUAAGCUCGCGGAAGAGUGGCUAUAAAC